Molecule: ribosomal RNA, 247 nt
Filed under: Staphylococcus chromogenes
Lineage: Bacteria; Bacillati; Bacillota; Bacilli; Caryophanales; Staphylococcaceae
Description: partial 16S ribosomal RNA
Rfam family: Bacterial small subunit ribosomal RNA
Source: RNAcentral
UGCACAUCUUGACGGUACCUAACCAGAAAGCCACGGCUAACUACGUGCCAGCAGCCGCGGUAAUACGUAGGUGGCAAGCGUUAUCCGGAAUUAUUGGGCGUAAAGCGCGCGUAGGCGGUGUUUUAAGUCUGAUGUGAAAGCCCACGGCUCAACCGUGGAGGGUCAUUGGAAACUGGAAAACUUGAGUGCAGAAGAGGAAAGUGGAAUUCCAUGUGUAGCGGUGAAAUGCGCAGAGAUAUGGAGGAAC